RNAcentral lists this transfer RNA (85 nucleotides) under Alicyclobacillus acidoterrestris. Its description in RNAcentral is "tRNA-Leu". It matches the Rfam family "tRNA". From Rfam's summary of the family: Transfer RNA (tRNA) molecules are approximately 80 nucleotides in length. Lineage: Bacteria; Bacillati; Bacillota; Bacilli; Caryophanales; Alicyclobacillaceae. RNAcentral also lists the same sequence under 1 other name. The record is from RNAcentral.
GUCGGGGUGGCGGAAUUGGCAGACGCGCACGUUUGAGGGGCGUGUGAGGAAACUCGUACGGGUUCAAGUCCCGUCCUCGACACCA